This 479-nucleotide ribosomal RNA is filed under the name Colletotrichum magnum. Its description in RNAcentral is "eukaryotic LSU rRNA". It matches the Rfam family "Eukaryotic large subunit ribosomal RNA", at positions 104 to 592 of the family's 3401-position model. Lineage: Eukaryota; Fungi; Ascomycota; Sordariomycetes; Glomerellales; Glomerellaceae. The record is from RNAcentral.
ACAGCUCAAAUUUGAAAUCUGGCCCCCCGGGUCCGAGUUGUAAUUUGCAGAGGAUGCUUUUGGCGCGGUGCCUUCCGAGUUCCCUGGAACGGGACGCCAUAGAGGGUGAGAGCCCCGUACGGUUGGACACCAAGCCUGUGUAAAGCUCCUUCGACGAGUCGAGUAGUUUGGGAAUGCUGCUCAAAAUGGGAGGUAUAUUUCUUCUAAAGCUAAAUACCGGCCAGAGACCGAUAGCGCACAAGUAGAGUGAUCGAAAGAUGAAAAGCACUUUGAAAAGAGGGUUAAACAGCACGUGAAAUUGUUAAAAGGGAAGCGCUUGUGACCAGACUUGCGCCCGGUGAAUCACCCAGCUCUCGCGGCUGGGGCACUUUGCCGGCUCAGGCCAGCAUCAGCUCGCCGUCGGGGACAAAAGCUUCGGGAACGUAGCUCUCUUCGGGGAGUGUUAUAGCCCGCUGCACAAUACCCUUCGGCGGGCUGAG